CUAGCCCUAAAUUUAGAUACCCCCUCCCCACACAUGUUAUCCGCCUGAGAACUACGAGCACAAACGCUUAAAACUCUAAGGACUUGGCGGUGCCCCAAACCCAC
Molecule: ribosomal RNA, 104 nt
Filed under: vertebrate environmental sample
Lineage: Eukaryota; Metazoa; Chordata
Description: partial 12S ribosomal RNA
Source: RNAcentral